CGACUUGCUGCGGACAAAUAAAAUGAAUAUGGGCAUCAAUGCCACCUGCGGUCAGAAUAGAGCCUUCACCGGCGAUCACUUCGGUUCCAGGGCCAAUAAUAAUGUCGAUAUUAUCCUGGAUAUCCGGAUUACCCGCUUUGCCUAUACCGUCAAUACGGCCUUCUUUGAUACCAACAUCGGCUUUAACGAUACCCCAAUGAUCUAAAAUCAAGGCAUUAGUGAUGACUAAGUCAGCAGUUUCUGCACUAGGUCGCUGACUUUGCCCCAUGCCGUCACG
This 277-nucleotide small RNA is filed under the name marine eukaryotic metagenome. RNAcentral describes it as "5' ureB small RNA". It matches the Rfam family "5' ureB small RNA". The record is from RNAcentral.